Benincasa hispida (wax gourd) is the source of this 801-nucleotide non-coding RNA. The record is from RefSeq and is a predicted model, not a curated record. NCBI's taxonomy places the organism in Eukaryota, Viridiplantae, Streptophyta, Magnoliopsida, Cucurbitales, Cucurbitaceae.
UUGUUUCCUUUUUCUUUCUCUUCCCCUUCCCUUCUUCUUCCAGCCGCCAGCCCCCCAUCUCCACCUUUCUCUCUCGCGCCUCUCCCUCUCUGCAAUCCACACGUCCGCCCAACCGUCACUGGAUCUGAAGCCGUUUGAUGGAUCUAAAGUCGUUCGUCGAAUUUGCAGGUCGGAUCUGAAGCCAUUCGUCGCAGCUCUGUUCGUUGCCGCGCCGUCGCUCGACUGAAGAUUUGAAGCCAUUCGCUGCAGCUCUAUUCCUUCGGGUUGCGUUCAACCGACCAUCCAAUGACCGCUUCUCAGAUCUGGCCGAUGCCCAUCAAUCUUUUCGUUGUCGGACGCUGCCGCUUGGGUUUUCGCUAGAUCUUGAGUUUUGGCCUAAGUUUUUGGGUUUUUCUUGAAAAUUUAUCCAUUUAAAUGUUUGUCCAAUACUUAUUUAACCCAUAAAUUUUAGAUGAUGGAUUCACGAAUUUGAGGAUAUUAAACCGCCAUCCAAUAGUGUUUGAGGUUCGAUUUUGGUGUUUUGGGUUAAAUUUGAUUUGCCUUUAGGUUUUGGGGCCUGAACUUGAAUUCUUGGAAGGAGUUGUGUAGGCAAAAGUUUGAGAUCUAGAGGUGGUUUUGGGUCAAACCACUACUGGGUAAGGUGCGUCGUUAAUUUUUUGGGAGAAGGAAGUUGUUAGUGCAUCAACCACACAUGAGGAAGGGAAGAAGGUGAGGAAUGUGAUCGAGUUUUGUAGCAUGCAAAAAGUGAAGACUUUAUCAAUGGUGGCUUAAUAUCGCGGCAAUGACCAUUUUUCAGUAAAA